This 240-nucleotide unclassified non-coding RNA is filed under the name soil metagenome. RNAcentral's name for it is "partial contains 5.8S ribosomal RNA, internal transcribed spacer 2, and large subunit ribosomal RNA". The record is from RNAcentral.
AAGACUAUAGACCUGCGGAGUACCUGCGGAAGGAUCAUUAAAGAGUUUAACUACUCAAACCAUUGUGAACCUUACCUCAACCGUUGCUUCGGCGGGCGGGCCCGGGCCAAGCCCGGCGCCCCCCCGGCCCCUCGCGGGCGCCCGCCGGAGGUUAACCGAACCCUUGAAUUGUAUGGCCUCUCUGAGUCUUCUGUACUGAAUAAGUCAAAACUUUUAACAAUGGAUCUCUAGAUCGGAAGA